This 1372-nucleotide ribosomal RNA is filed under the name uncultured bacterium. Its description in RNAcentral is "bacterial SSU rRNA". It matches the Rfam family "Bacterial small subunit ribosomal RNA", at positions 28 to 1381 of the family's 1533-position model. The record is from RNAcentral.
GAUAAACGCUGGCGGCGUGCCUAAUACAUGCAAGUCGAGCGAACGGACGAGAAGCUUGCUUCUCUGAUGUUAGCGGCGGACGGGUGAGUAACACGCGGAUAACCUACCUAUAAGACUGGGAUAACUUCGGGAAACCGGAGCUAAUACCGGAUAAUAUUUUGAACCGCAUGGUUCAAAAGUGAAAGACGGUCUUGCUGUCACUUAUAGAUGGAUCCGCGCUGCAUUAGCUAGUUGGUAAGGUAACGGCUUACCAAGGCAACGAUGCAUAGCCGACCUGAGAGGGUGAUCGGCCACACUGGAACUGAGACACGGUCCAGACUCCUACGGGAGGCAGCAGUAGGGAAUCUUCCGCAAUGGGCGAAAGCCUGACGGAGCAACGCCGCGUGAGUGAUGAAGGUCUUCGGAUCGUAAAACUCUGUUAUUAGGGAAGAACAUAUGUGUAAGUAACUGUGCACAUCUUGACGGUACCUAAUCAGAAAGCCACGGCUAACUACGUGCCAGCAGCCGCGGUAAUACGUAGGUGGCAAGCGUUAUCCGGAAUUAUUGGGCGUAAAGCGCGCGUAGGCGGUUUUUUAAGUCUGAUGUGAAAGCCCACGGCUCAACCGUGGAGGGUCAUUGGAAACUGGAAAACUUGAGUGCAGAAGAGGAAAGUGGAAUUCCAUGUGUAGCGGUGAAAUGCGCAGAGAUAUGGAGGAACACCAGUGGCGAAGGCGACUUUCUGGUCUGUAACUGACGCUGAUGUGCGAAAGCGUGGGGAUCAAACAGGAUUAGAUACCCUGGUAGUCCACGCCGUAAACGAUGAGUGCUAAGUGUUAGGGGGUUUCCGCCCCUUAGUGCUGCAGCUAACGCAUUAAGCACUCCGCCUGGGGAGUACGACCGCAAGGUUGAAACUCAAAGGAAUUGACGGGGACCCGCACAAGCGGUGGAGCAUGUGGUUUAAUUCGAAGCAACGCGAAGAACCUUACCAAAUCUUGACAUCCUUUGACAACUCUAGAGAUAGAGCCUUCCCCUUCGGGGGACAAAGUGACAGGUGGUGCAUGGUUGUCGUCAGCUCGUGUCGUGAGAUGUUGGGUUAAGUCCCGCAACGAGCGCAACCCUUAAGCUUAGUUGCCAUCAUUAAGUUGGGCACUCUAAGUUGACUGCCGGUGACAAACCGGAGGAAGGUGGGGAUGACGUCAAAUCAUCAUGCCCCUUAUGAUUUGGGCUACACACGUGCUACAAUGGACAAUACAAAGGGCAGCGAAACCGCGAGGUCAAGCAAAUCCCAUAAAGUUGUUCUCAGUUCGGAUUGUAGUCUGCAACUCGACUACAUGAAGCUGGAAUCGCUAGUAAUCGUAGAUCAGCAUGCUACGGUGAAUACGUUCCCGGGUCU